This 484-nucleotide ribosomal RNA is filed under the name uncultured bacterium. RNAcentral's name for it is "partial 16S ribosomal RNA". It matches the Rfam family "Bacterial small subunit ribosomal RNA", at positions 28 to 507 of the family's 1533-position model. The record is from RNAcentral.
AUUGAACGCUGGCGGCAUGCUUUACACAUGCAAGUCGAACGGCAGCGCGGGCUUCGGCCUGGCGGCGAGUGGCGAACGGGUGAGUAAUGCAUCGGAACGUGCCCAGUAGUGGGGGAUAGCCCAGCGAAAGCCGGAUUAAUACCGCAUACGACCUGAGGGUGAAAGCGGGGGACCGAAAGGCCUCGCGCUAUUGGAGCGGCCGAUGUCGGAUUAGCUAGUUGGUGGGGUAAAGGCUUACCGAGGCGACGAUCCGUAGCUGGUCUGAGAGGACGACCAGCCACACUGGGACUGAGACACGGCCCAGACUCCUACGGGAGGCAGCAGUGGGGAAUUUUGGACAAUGGGGGCAACCCUGAUCCAGCCAUGCCGCGUGCGGGAAGAAGGCCUUCGGGUUGUAAACCGCUUUUGUUCGGGAAGAAAUCCUCUGGGCUAAUACCCCGGGGGGAUGACGGUACCGGAAGAAUAAGCACCGGCUAACUACGUG